AUGCGAAUGAUGCACAAUUACUUUCGCAUCGGAGGAGUAGCCGCCGAUCUACCUUAUGGAUGGAUCGAUAAAUGUUUAGAUUUCUGUGAUUAUUUUUUACGCGGAGUUGUUGAAUAUCAACAACUUAUUACACAGAAUCCAAUUUUUUUAGAGCGAGUUGAAGGAGUAGGUUUUAUUAGCGGAGAAGAAGCAGUAAAUUGGGGCUUAUCGGGACCGAUGUUACGAGCUUCUGGAUUACAAUGGGAUCUUCGUAAAGUAGAUCCUUAUGAGUCUUACAACCAAUUUGAUUGGAAAGUCCAAUGGCAAAAAGAAGGGGAUUCGUUAGCUCGCUAUUUAGUACGAAUUGGUGAAAUGAGGGAAUCCAUCAAAAUAAUUCAACAAGCUGUAGAAAAAAUUCCUGGAGGACCUUAUGAGAAUUUAGAAGUCCAACGCUUUAAGAAAGAAAAGAAUUCUGAAUGGAAUGAUUUUGAGUAUAAAUUUCUUGGUAAAAAACCUUCGCCCAAUUUUGAAUUGUCAAGACAAGAGCUUUAUGUAAGAGUAGAAGCCCCAAAAGGUGAAUUAGGGAUUUAUCUAGUAGGAGAUGAUAGCCUUUUCCCCUGGAGAUGGAAAAUCCGUCCACCCGGGUUUAUUAAUUUGCAAAUUCUUCCUCAGCUAGUUAAAAAAAUGAAAUUGGCUAAUAUCAUGACGAUAUUAGGUAGUAUAGAUAUCAUUAUGGGGGAAGUUGAUCGUUGA
Molecule: ribosomal RNA, 732 nt
Filed under: Triticum aestivum (bread wheat)
Lineage: Eukaryota; Viridiplantae; Streptophyta; Magnoliopsida; Poales; Poaceae
Description: partial small subunit ribosomal RNA
Source: RNAcentral